CGGGGAGUGGCGCAGCCUGGUAGCGCGUCUGCUUUGGGAGCAGAGGGUCGCAGGUUCGAAUCCUGUCUCCCCGACCA
Molecule: transfer RNA, 77 nt
Filed under: Sphingomonas sp.
Lineage: Bacteria; Pseudomonadati; Pseudomonadota; Alphaproteobacteria; Sphingomonadales; Sphingomonadaceae
Also listed under: 17 other names
Description: tRNA-Pro
Rfam family: tRNA
About the family: Transfer RNA (tRNA) molecules are approximately 80 nucleotides in length. Their secondary structure includes four short double-helical elements and three loops (D, anti-codon, and T loops).
Source: RNAcentral